This 126-nucleotide small nuclear RNA is filed under the name Bactrocera dorsalis (oriental fruit fly). Its description in RNAcentral is "U2 spliceosomal RNA". It matches the Rfam family "U2 spliceosomal RNA", at positions 1 to 124 of the family's 192-position model. Rfam says of the family: U2 is a small nuclear RNA (snRNA) component of the spliceosome (involved in pre-mRNA splicing). Complementary binding between U2 snRNA (in an area lying towards the 5' end but 3' to hairpin I) and the branchpoint sequence (BPS) of the intron results the bulging out of an unpaired adenosine, on the BPS, which initiates a nucleophilic attack at the intronic 5' splice site, thus starting the first of two transesterification reactions that mediate splicing. The record is from Rfam by way of RNAcentral. Lineage: Eukaryota; Metazoa; Arthropoda; Insecta; Diptera; Tephritidae.
UAGGCUUCUUGGCAUUAUGGUUUAGAUUAAAGUGUAGUACCUGCUUUUGUCAGCUUAACAUCUGAUAGAUCCUCCAUCAUUGAACAGAAAAUGUUAAACUAAUUUUUGGAAAUCGACGAAGUGUUU